RNAcentral lists this ribosomal RNA (402 nucleotides) under uncultured bacterium. Its description in RNAcentral is "partial 16S ribosomal RNA". It matches the Rfam family "Bacterial small subunit ribosomal RNA", at positions 30 to 526 of the family's 1533-position model. The record is from RNAcentral.
AUUGAACGCUGGCGGCAUGCUUACACAUGCAAGUCGAACGAGUGGCGGACGGGUGAGUAAUAUAUGGGAAACUGCCCAGUCGCGGGGGAUAACUACUGGAAACGGUGCUAUACCGCAUACUAUUGGAUCUGCCGAUAUCGGAUUAGCUAGUUGGUGGGGUAACGGCUCACCAAGGCGACGAUCCGUAGCUGGUGUGAGAGGAUGACCAGCCACACGGGGACUGAGACACGGGCCAGACUCCUACGGGAGGCAGCAGUGGGGAAUUUUGGACAAUGGGGGAAACCCUGAUGCAGCCAGGCCGCGUGUAUGAAGAAGGCUUCGGGUGGUAAAGUACUGUUGGCAGGGAAGCGUUAUCUGCAGAAUAAGCACCGGCUAACUCCGUGCCAGCAGCCGCGGUAAUAC